GGCGCACGCCGUAGCCGCUAGCCGCUCCGCUACUCAGUCAGUCCGUCCGCUCGCUCCACUCGACGCUCACCACACUACGAUGGCUACUGGUAGUGUGUUGGCAUCGUGCGGGCUACUGGUGGUAUCUCUUCUAGUCUUCGAUAUGAAUCUCAACUUUGCAGCGGGCAAACGGCAACUCAACAAGACACACAACAACAUUGUAG
Molecule: long non-coding RNA, 203 nt
Organism: Homalodisca vitripennis (glassy-winged sharpshooter)
Lineage: Eukaryota; Metazoa; Arthropoda; Insecta; Hemiptera; Cicadellidae
Exons: 3
Source: RefSeq, a predicted model, not a curated record